Long non-coding RNA from Fukomys damarensis (Damara mole-rat), 373 nucleotides. RefSeq lists it as uncharacterized. The transcript is spliced from 3 exons. Lineage: Eukaryota; Metazoa; Chordata; Mammalia; Rodentia; Bathyergidae. The record is from RefSeq and is a predicted model, not a curated record.
UCUGCGCAAUUAACGAAGAGUUACCUCAGCUUUAGCGAGGUCUCCGAGUUAGCGCUGGAGACAAAAAUGCAGCGCACCUGGCCCAGCCAGGCUUGAACUUCUCCCACACAAUAGGAUAUUAAAACAUCCUCAAGAUUCCAAACAAAUGUUUUAAAGACUCAGCAAAACUUAAUUCAGCAGAGAAGCCAUCAAGACCCAGACUUUUCUUAGUUGGAAUUUCAUGCUGUUCUGUGAUUUGAAUGUGGAACUUAAAGACAAAGAUAAGAGAAUACUUUUUGGUUUCUUUACUCAUUUAUAAACUGUUAUGUCACCCGUCAGUUUCUUCAGAAGCAAACAAUGACACUACAUUUGAUGGGCAAGGUGAUUGUGAAAA